UACGUAGGGUGCGAGCGUUAAUCGGAAUUACUGGGCGUAAAGCGUGCGCAGGCGGUUUUGUAAGCCAGAUAUGAAAUCCCCGGGCUUAACCUGGGAAUGGCAUUUGGGACUGCAAGGCUGGAGUUUGGCAGAGGAGACUGGAAUUCCCGGUGUAGCAGUGAAAUGCGUAGAUAUCGGGAGGAAUACCGAUGGCGAAGGCAGGUCUCUGGGCUAUAACUGACGCUCAUGCACGAAAGCGUGGGGAGCAAACAGU
Molecule: ribosomal RNA, 253 nt
Filed under: uncultured bacterium
Lineage: Bacteria
Description: partial 16S ribosomal RNA
Rfam family: Bacterial small subunit ribosomal RNA
Source: RNAcentral